Molecule: non-coding RNA, 1295 nt
Organism: Artibeus jamaicensis (Jamaican fruit-eating bat)
Lineage: Eukaryota; Metazoa; Chordata; Mammalia; Chiroptera; Phyllostomidae
Source: the annotation of a RefSeq genome assembly
CCUCAAAUUAAGAAAGUAGAGGAAAGCUCUCUUUGCUGUGGUAUUACCAACCAAACCUGUGUUGAUUCUCUGCCAGCCAUGCUGUCUCCUUUCUGCUUGGGACUUGGAAUCUUGUUGAUGUUGGGAGGGACCAGUGGAGACUCAGUGAACCAGACAGAAGGCCCUGUUACCCUCCCAGAGGGGAAAAAUUUGACGCUGAGCUGUACUUACAAGACUACCUACAUCACUGCAGAAUAUCUUUUCUGGUAUGUCCAGUAUCAAAACAAAGAGCCUGUUCUCCUCCUGAAAAGCUCUCCGGAUAAUCAGGAGGUCCACAACAGAGGUUUUCAGGCCAAACUGGUGAAGACUGAGAAAUCCUUCCACCUGCAGGCACCGUCAGUGCAAAUGUCAGACUCAGCGGUGUACUUCUGUGCUCUGAGUGACACAGUGUGGGAGUCCACAGGGGGAGCUGAGCACAAACCCAGAGGGGCUCACACAGGGCUGCAGGGGAGCAGCCUGGCUAUUCUGGGAGCCCCUGGGAGCUUCCCUGGCUGUUCUCAGGAGACAUACAGGUAUUUGGCAGGGAAGUGGAGACUAUACUUUCUAAAUACAAACAAAAAUACUUAUUAUGGCAAACAUGUCUACUAACCCAGAGUGAAGGACAUGGUUUUUCUGUUCUGCUACUGUGUGUAUCCCAUUAAAACCACUUUUACCCAGUUAGUAAAUACAAGUAUGAUGUCAACAUGCUGUGGAAGUUUCACUGAUUCUCUGUGACUUUUCUAAGCACAUUAAUAAUUUAUGCUAAACCAAAGAACUAUCAGGAAAAGUUUCUCAUUAUAAAAAUGCCUCAAGUCUACUUUAAUGCAAGCAGAGUUUGUUUCAGUGUGUCAAGAAUUCCCAGAGUUUUCAAGGCAAGCAACCAGGUGAAACUGAGAGGAAGGGAAAAUGACUCUGGGGCUGUCCCCAAUUCUGAUCUUAACAUAUCAAUUUAUGAAGAACAAUUACAUUUAAAAAUUUGAUGAAUCUUGUCCUCUUGGAAGUACAUAUUCUCAUGAACCUGUAACUGAAGAAGAGAAACACAAGUUCUGAUGUUCAAGGCUACAAAGAUUUACUGGCUAUGAUGCAAGGGAGAAAUGCCACAGGUUAUUGAAUGUUGCUGGGACUUUUAAUAGGAUUUUAUUUUUAUAUAAUGCUCUGUUUACAAAGAUGUAUAGUCUAAGGAUUUUCCCUAUGCCAAUUUUCACCAUAAUUAAUAUGUGUGGUUUGGAAUCACAAGAGGAUUUUCAGAAAUACAUGUAUUGAUAUCUAACAGUAAU